GGUGAACGCUGGCGGUGGGCCUAACACAUGCAAGUCGAGCGGCAGCACGGUAAGCUCUCGCUCUUGCGGGUGGCGAGUGACGGGCGGGUGAGGAAUGCAUCGCAAACCACUUUUUCUGGGAUGAUUUCGGGAGGCCGGUGCUACUAAUACCUAAUAUGUUCUACCGCAUAGAUCAAGAGUGCUAGGCAGCUUUCCUGUCUCAUUUAGCUGGUUCCGUGUUGCAUUAGCUAGUUGGUAAGGUAACGGCUAACCAAGGCGACGAUGCGUAGCUGGUCUGAGAGGAUGAUCAGCCACACUGGAACUGAGACACGGUCCAGACUCCUACGGGAGGCAGCAGUGGGGAAUAUUGGACAAUGGGCGCAAGCCUGAUCGAGCCAUACCGCGUGGGUGAAGAAGGUCUUCGGGUUGUAAAACCCUUUUGUUGGGAAAGAAAAGCAGUGGGUGAAUCCCCCGCUGUCCUGACGGUACCCAAAGAAUAAGCACCGGCUAACUUCGUG
Molecule: ribosomal RNA, 497 nt
Filed under: uncultured bacterium
Lineage: Bacteria
Description: partial 16S ribosomal RNA
Rfam family: Bacterial small subunit ribosomal RNA
Source: RNAcentral